RNAcentral lists this long non-coding RNA (324 nucleotides) under Zonotrichia albicollis (white-throated sparrow). RNAcentral describes it as "lncRNA (ENSZALG00000001767.1)". Lineage: Eukaryota; Metazoa; Chordata; Aves; Passeriformes; Passerellidae. The record is from RNAcentral.
CACCAGAGCUCCUCUGAGGGAGGCCAUGGCUACCGGUAUCUGACAGUGUCCCUCAUGGCUGCCAGGAGCUGAGGGCGUUCUUCAUGGGCCGGGUGUGGGCGCUGUGCGGCACCAGAGCUCCCUGAGGGUGUUCAUGGCUGCCGGGAUGUGGGCGCUGUGCGGCACCAGAGCCCCCCUGAGGGCGUUCAUGGCGGGCCGGGAUGUGAGGGCGUUCAUGGCGGGCAGGGUGUGGGUGCUGUGCGGCACCAGAGCCUCCCUGAGGGAGGUCAUGGCUGCCGGGAUCUGAGGGCGUUCAUGGCCGGCAGGGUGUGGGCGCUGUGCGGC